Molecule: ribosomal RNA, 467 nt
Filed under: Veillonella dispar
Lineage: Bacteria; Bacillati; Bacillota; Negativicutes; Veillonellales; Veillonellaceae
Description: bacterial SSU rRNA
Rfam family: Bacterial small subunit ribosomal RNA
Source: RNAcentral
GACGAACGCUGGCGGCGUGCUUAACACAUGCAAGUCGAACGAAGAGCGAUGGAAGCUUGCUUCUAUCAAUCUUAGUGGCGAACGGGUGAGUAACGCGUAAUCAACCUGCCCUUCAGAGGGGGACAACAGUUGGAAACGACUGCUAAUACCGCAUACGAUCUAACCUCGGCAUCGAGGAUGGAUGAAAGGUGGCCUCUAUUUAUAAGCUAUCACUGAAGGAGGGGAUUGCGUCUGAUUAGCUAGUUGGAGGGGUAACGGCCCACCAAGGCGAUGAUCAGUAGCCGGUCUGAGAGGAUGAACGGCCACAUUGGGACUGAGACACGGCCCAGACUCCUACGGGAGGCAGCAGUGGGGAAUCUUCCGCAAUGGACGAAAGUCUGACGGAGCAACGCCGCGUGAGUGAUGACGGCCUUCGGGUUGUAAAGCUCUGUUAAUCGGGACGAAAGGCCUUCUUGCGAAUAGUUAGA